AAUGAACGCUGGCGGUAUGCCUAACACAUGCAAGUCGAACGGCAGCUCAGUAAGAGCUUGCUCUUACGGGUGUCGCGUGGCGGAAGGGUGAGGUAUACUUGGGAUUCUACUUUUUCGUGGGUGCUAACGCAGGGAAACGUACUCUAAUACCGCAUACGUCCUCCGUGUGAAAGCAGGCGUUCUUCUGACCUUGCGCUAGUGUAUGAGCCUACGUCGGCGGCGCUUGUUGGCGGGGUAGAGGCCAUCCUAGGCGACGAUCCGUAGCUGAUCUGAGAGGAAGAACACACACCCUGGCAGUGAGACACGGUAGCGACUCCUACAGGAGGCCGCGGCGGGGACUAUUGCACGAGGGAGGAAAGCCUGAUACAGCAAUACCGCGUGAAGGAAGAAGGACCUCGGGUUGUAAAGCCAUGUUGUUGGGAAAGAAAAGAAGCACGUUAACACCCCGCGGUAAUGACGGUACCCAAAGAAUAAGCACCGGCUAACUUCGUG
RNAcentral lists this ribosomal RNA (492 nucleotides) under uncultured bacterium. Its description in RNAcentral is "partial 16S ribosomal RNA". It matches the Rfam family "Bacterial small subunit ribosomal RNA", at positions 29 to 507 of the family's 1533-position model. The record is from RNAcentral.